Molecule: long non-coding RNA, 408 nt
Filed under: Capra hircus (goat)
Lineage: Eukaryota; Metazoa; Chordata; Mammalia; Artiodactyla; Bovidae
Description: lncRNA (ENSCHIG00000002484.1)
Source: RNAcentral
UGUUGAUUGUGCCUCGUGCACGUAGGAAGGAAUACACGCUUUUCCUUGGUUCAGUAUAUGUAACGUUACAGCAGAUUUGAUGUGGGCAGUAAAGCUGAGCCUUUAACUGAGUUUUCCAGCUCCCUUACUUCAUUCCUUCCUGGACAGGCUACUUUUUCUGGGACUAGGACGCUUUGAUUUCCCUCAGCCAGUUCCUUCUGGAAGCUGAAGAUCAGCAGAUAAAAACCUGUUGCCUUUUACCCUUUCCUCCCUGGGGCAUGAAGACUUUCUCAACUUCUCUCUGAGCCCCAGGAGUGGCUGGGGCCUUUGUGCUGCAGGUAAGGGGUAAUGCCAUGUCACCAUCCUUGAGGGCAGGACUGUGAGCCCAUGUACUAGGUUCGAAGUCCAGUACGGUCAGACCUAAUCGCU